Molecule: ribosomal RNA, 488 nt
Filed under: uncultured bacterium
Lineage: Bacteria
Description: partial 16S ribosomal RNA
Rfam family: Bacterial small subunit ribosomal RNA
Source: RNAcentral
ACUCAAAGGAAUUGACGGGGACCCGCACAAGCGGUGGAGCGUGUGGUUUAAUUCGACGCUAAGCGAAGAACCUUACCAGGACUUGACAUCCCGAUCGUAUCUCUUGGAAACAAGAGAGUCAGUUUGCUGGAUCGGUGACAGGUGCUGCAUGGUCGUCGUCAGCUCGUGUCGUGAGAUGUUGGGUUAAGUCCCGCAACGAGCGCAACCCUUGUCGCGUGUUGUAUUUUUCACGCGAGACUGCCUCGGUCAACGAGGAGGAAGGUGGGGAUGACGUCAGAUCAGCAUGGCCCUUAUGUCCUGGGCGACACACGCGCUACAAUGGCCGGUCCAAUGGGUCGCGAAGGAGCAAUCCGGAGCUAAUCCCAUCAAAGCCGGUCCCAGUUCGGAUUGGAGGCUGCAACUCGCCUCCAUGAAGCCGGAAUCGCUAGUAAACGCAGAUCAGCCACGCUGCGUUGAAUACGUUCUCGGGUCUUGUACACACCGCCCGU